GGAGAGUUUGAUCCUGGCUCAGGAUGAACGCUGGCGGCGUGCCUAAUACAUGCAAGUCGAACGGUGUAUAUAAUUUAUUAUAUACAUAGUGGCGAACGGGUGAGUAACGCGUUGGUGACCUGCCCUAAAGCGGGGGACAACAGUUCGAAAGGGCUGCUAAUACCCCAUGUGGUUGUUCGGGAUUAGAAGCGGACAACUAAAGGAUAGCCCUGUGAGGGGAAAUUCGCUUUAGGAGGGGCCUGCGUCCCAUCAGCUAGUUGGUAGGGUAAAGGCCUACCAAGGCGUAGACGGGUAGGGGACCUGAGAGGGUGGCCCCCCACAAUGGAACUGAAACACGGUCCAUACACCUACGGGUGGCAGCAGUAGGGAAUAUUGCACCAUGGACGGAAGUCUGAUGCAGCAACGCCGCGUGAGUGAUGAAGGCCUUCGGGUCGUAAAACUCUUUUCAAGGGGAAGAGGAAGGACGGUACCCUUGGAAUAAGCAUCGGCUAACUACGUGCCAGCAGCCGCGGUAACACGUAGGAUGCAAGCGUUAUUCGGAUUUACUGGGCGUAAAGCGCGUGUAGGCGGUUGGGAUAGUUGGAUGUGAAAGCUCCCGGCUUAACUGGGAGAGGUCGUUCAAAACUUCCCAACUAGAGUUUGGUAGAGGAAAAUGGAAUUCCGGGUGUAGUGGUGAAAUGCGUAGAUAUCCGGAGGAACACCAGUGGCGAAAGCGAUUUUCUGGACCGAUACUGACGCUCAGACGCGAAAGCUAGGGUAGCAAACGGGAUUAGAGACCCCGGUAGUCCUAGCCGUAAACGAUGUAGACUAGGCGUUGGUGGAGUAAAAUUCAUCAGUGCCGCAGCAAACGCGAUAAGUCUACCGCCUGGGGAGUACGGCCGCAAGGUUAAAACUCAAAGGAAUUGACGGGGCCCCGCACAAGCAGCGGAGCGUGUGGUUUAAUUCGAUGCUACACGAAGAACCUUACCAGGGUUUGACAUAUAAGUGGUAGGGAAGGGAAACCGGACCGACCCUUCGGGGAGCUUAUACAGGUGCUGCAUGGCUGUCGUCAGCUCGUGUCGUGAGAUGUUCGGUUAAGUCCGCUAACGAGCGCAACCCUCGCUGUGUGUUACAAGUGUCACACGGUACUGCCGGUCUUAAACCGGAGGAAGGUGGGGAUGACGUCAAGUCAGCAUGGCCUUUAUAUCCUGGGCUACACACACGCUACAAUGGGUAGGGACAAUUGGUUGCGAAACCGCGAGGUGGAGCCAAUCCGUAAAAACUACCCUCAGUUCAGAUUGCAGGCUGCAACUCGCCUGCAUGAAGUCGGAGUUGCUAGUAACCGCAGGUCAGCUAUACUGCGGUGAAUACGUUUCCGGGGCUUGUACACACCGCCCGUCACGUCAUGGGAGCUGGUAACACCUGAAGCCGGUAGCUUAACCCGUAAGGGAGGGCGCUGUCGAAGGUGGGGCUGGUGACUGGGACGAAGUCGUAACAAGGUAGGAGUACCGGAAGGUGCGCCUGGAUCACCUCCUUUCUA
RNAcentral lists this ribosomal RNA (1519 nucleotides) under Chloroflexi bacterium 44-23. RNAcentral describes it as "bacterial SSU rRNA". It matches the Rfam family "Bacterial small subunit ribosomal RNA". Lineage: Bacteria; Bacillati; Chloroflexota. The record is from RNAcentral.